UACGAAGGGGGCUAGCGUUGCUCGGAAUUACUGGGCGUAAAGCGCACGUAGGCGGAUCUUUAAGUCAGGGGUGAAAUCCUGGAGCUCAACUCCAGAACUGCCUUUGAUACUGGGGAUCUCGAGUCCGGGAGAGGUGAGUGGAACUCCGAGUGUAGAGGUGAAAUUCGUAGAUAUUAGGAAGAACACCGGUGGCGAAGGCGGCCCACUGGUCCGGUACUGACGCUGAGGUGCGAAAGCGUGGGGAGCAAACAGG
Molecule: ribosomal RNA, 253 nt
Filed under: uncultured bacterium
Lineage: Bacteria
Description: partial 16S ribosomal RNA
Rfam family: Bacterial small subunit ribosomal RNA
Source: RNAcentral